UACGAAGGGGGCUAGCGUUGCUCGGAAUUACUGGGCGUAAAGCGCACGUAGGCGGCUUUCUAAGUCGGGGGUGAAAUCCUGGAGCUCAACUCCAGAACUGCCUUCGAUACUGGCGAUCUUGAGUCCGGAAGAGGUGAGUGGAACUCCUAGUGUAGAGGUGGAAUUCGUAGAUAUUCGGAAGAACACCAGUGGCGAAGGCGACGCACUGGACACGUAUUGACGCUGAGGUGCGAAAGCGUGGGGAGCAAACAGG
RNAcentral lists this ribosomal RNA (253 nucleotides) under uncultured bacterium. RNAcentral's name for it is "partial 16S ribosomal RNA". It matches the Rfam family "Bacterial small subunit ribosomal RNA", at positions 524 to 776 of the family's 1533-position model. The record is from RNAcentral.